UACAGAGGGGGCAAGCGUUGUUCGGAAUUACUGGGCGUAAAGGGCGCGUAGGCGGCCUGCUAAGUCGAACGUGAAAUCCCUGGGCUCAACCCAGGAACUGCGUCCGAUACUGGUUGGCUUGAAUCCGGGAGAGGGAUGUGGAAUUCCAGGUGUAGCGGUGAAAUGCGUAGAUAUCUGGAGGAACACCGGUGGCGAAGGCGACAUCCUGGACCGGUAUUGACGCUGAGGCGCGAAAGCAUGGGGAGCGAACAGG
This 253-nucleotide ribosomal RNA is filed under the name uncultured bacterium. RNAcentral's name for it is "partial 16S ribosomal RNA". It matches the Rfam family "Bacterial small subunit ribosomal RNA", at positions 524 to 776 of the family's 1533-position model. The record is from RNAcentral.